RNAcentral lists this ribosomal RNA (714 nucleotides) under uncultured bacterium. RNAcentral describes it as "bacterial SSU rRNA". It matches the Rfam family "Bacterial small subunit ribosomal RNA", at positions 89 to 819 of the family's 1533-position model. The record is from RNAcentral.
AGUAGAGUGGCGCACGGGUGAGUAACACGUGGGUAAUCUGCCCUUAAGCUUGGGAUAACCUGUCGAAAGGCGGGCUAAUACCGAAUAAUAUUCAUGAUUGAUAGGAUCGUGAAUCAAAGAUUUAUCGCUUAAGGAUGAGCCCGCGGCCCAUUAGCUAGUUGGUGGGGUAAUGGCCUACCAAGGCUACGAUGGGUAGCUGGUCUGAGAGGAUGAUCAGUCACACUGGAACUGGAACACGGUCCAGACUCCUACGGGAGGCAGCAGUGGGGAAUAUUGCGCAAUGGGGGAAACCCUGACGCAGCGACGCCGCGUGGGUGAGGAAGGUUUUAGGAUCGUAAAGCCCUGUCAAGUGGGAAGAAGAAAGUGACGGUACCACUAAAGGAAGCACCGGCUAACUCCGUGCCAGCAGCCGCGGUAAUACGGAGGGUGCAAGCGUUAUUCGGAUUUAUUGGGCGUAAAGAGAGCGUAGGCGGUCUGUUAAGUCAGAGGUGAAAGCCCCAGGCUCAACCUGGGAAGUGCCUUUGAAACUGGCAGACUUGAGUACGAGAGAGGGUAGCGGAAUUCCAAGUGUAGAGGUGAAAUUCGUAGAUAUUUGGAGGAACACCGGUGGCGAAGGCGGCUACCUGGACCGAUACUGACGCUGAGGCUCGAAAGCGUGGGGAGCAAACAGGAUUAGAUACCCUGGUAGUCCACGCCCUAAACGAUGAGUACUAG